This 2157-nucleotide long non-coding RNA is filed under the name Salmo salar (Atlantic salmon). RNAcentral describes it as "lncRNA (ENSSSAG00000084702.1)". The record is from RNAcentral. Lineage: Eukaryota; Metazoa; Chordata; Actinopteri; Salmoniformes; Salmonidae.
CUGUAAUGUGUUGUACCCCCUAGCAUAUGUUAUCAUUGUCUAUUGUAUGUAUACAGAAUUUUCUAUACUGGUAAUAUAUAUUUUUUUUAAAGAAUGAAUAUAAAAAAUAUAUAUAUUAAAAAUGAAUAAAUAAAUAACAAAAAAUAACACGUUUUGAAAUCAGUGGAACACAACAGGCCAAACAAGCUGUGCAAACUAAACUGAAACAACACAGGAUGUUUUAUAAAGGGGUUGCAGUCUGCCGUGAAGCUUUCAUCCAUGUAUACAGCAAUCAGUAGAACACGCCUGAGUCUAAUCCACCAGUCAUACAGUCAUCAAAAAAAGAGCUGGCACAAGCAAGCAAAGGCAGCAGCACUGUCAUCAAUUACAUGGACCAUUUCUUCACCAACUAUGGAGUUGGGAAAACACGUGUGGACCUGAAUUGUGAUAACUGCAGUGGCCAAAACAAGAACACGUUUUUGCUCUGGUAUUGUGCCUGGCGGACCAUGCACAAGCUCCACCACAAUCUGGACCUCCACUUCCUGAUCACAGGCCACACCAAGUUUGCCCCCGACUGGUACUUCGGGCCUCAUCAAGCAGUGCUUUCGAAGAUCACUUUGUCUGAGAUUGCUUGUGUUGUGAAGGACAGCACUGUGACAGGGGCCAACAUCCCACAGCUGGUUGGACUGGAGGAUGGUACGGUGCUGGUGGAAAUCUAUGGCUGGCAACAUCACCUGACUCCGUACUUCAGACCGCUGCUACAGAUCAAGCAGUACCAGCACUUCAGCUUCGAUGCUCUGGAGCCUGGUGUUGUCUCCAAGGAGCGUUCAGACUGUCCUGACCAGGUUUCAGUUGCUGAGCAACGCUGACAUCCUUCCUCCCAUAGAUGGUCUGCCUGUAAAAGCACCACCUGGACUGGACACAGCUAGACAAAGAGGCUAUGUGACGAAGAGGCUAUGGACAUCACAUGCCCUGCACCAAAGUCAAGGGCAGGACAGAAACAGGCUCUCUGAACAUAGAUUCCCUUGUUCAUGCGUGGUUUGGACGGACCAGUCAUCAGCAAUAUCUGCAGUGCCUCUAUUCAAAUGACUCUCUCCUAACACACACACCACACAUCUUCUGUAGAGACCCAUCCGCUUAGCAAGACUUAGCAAAAUAUUGAUAUAUGAGAUUAAUAUUGAUAUGUGGGGUCGUAACAUGAUUUUGUGACAUACCACAACAAUAUCAUGUGACCGUAUCAAGUGUCCACCACAAAUAUAUGGCGCAUGCAUCUGUUUAUGUACAUGUGAUGAAAACAACCUCACUCAGUGUCACACCCUGAUCUAUUUCACCUGUCCUUGUUAUUGUCUCCACCCCCUCCAGGUGUCGCUUGUUUUCCCCAGUGUAUUUAUCCCUGUGUUUCCUGUCUCUCUGUGCCAGUUCGUCUUGUAUGUUUCCAAGUCAACCAGUGUUUUUCCCCGUUCUCCUGCCUUUGCUAUUCUCCUUUUUCUAGUCCUCCCGGUUUUGACCCUUGCCUGUUCUGGACUCUGUACCCGCCUGCCUGACCAUUCUGCCUGCCUUGACUUCGAGCCUGUCUGCCACUCUGUACCUCCUGGACUCUGAUCUGGUGUUUACCUUUUGCCUGUCCACGACCAUUCUCUUGGCUACUUUUUGGAUUAUUAUUAAACAUCUAAGACUCCAACCAUCUGCAUCUGGGUCUCGCCUUGUGUCAUGAUACUCAGGUUGCAUGGCCGUAACUUAUGUAUGGAAUACUAUGUCAUAAGUGCAUGUGCAACAGUAUUUAUAGUAUGCUGGUAUGAAGGAAUUUGGGCAGUGUAGUAAAAAUACUUUAAAGUACUACUUAAGUAGUUUUUUGUGGUAUCUUUACUAUUUAUAUUUUUGCCAACUCUUACUUCACUACAUUUGUAAAGAAAAUAAUGUACUUUUUACCCCAUAAAUUUUUCUUUGACACCCAAAAGUACUCGUUACAUUUUGACAGGAAAAUUGUCCAAUUCACACACUUAUCAAGAGAACAGCCCUGGUCAUCCCAUAUACUGCCUCUGAUCUGGCAGACUCACUAAACACAAAUGCUUUGUUUGUAAAUUAUGUCUGAGUGUUGGAGUGUACCCCUGGCUCGGCAUCAAUAAAAAAAUAAUUAAAUUGUGCUGUCUGGUUUGCUUAAUAUAAGGAAUUUGAAAC